CAGAGGUCCCGAGCGUUGUUCGGAUUCACUGGGCGUAAAGGGUGCGUAGGUGGUGAGGUAAGUCGGAUGUGAAAUCUCCGGGCUCAACCCGGAAAUGGCAUUGGAAACUACCUUGCUGGAGGAUUUGAGGGGGGAUUGGAAUACUUGGUGUAGCAGUGAAAUGCGUAGAUAUCAAGUGGAACACCAGAGGCGAAGGCGAAUCCCUGGAAAAUACCUGACACUGAGGCACGAAAGCUAGGGGAGCAAACAGGAUUAGAUACCCUGGUAGUCCUAGCCCUAAACGGUGCUUGCUUGCUGUAAGAGGAAUCGACCCCUCUUGUGGCGGAGCUAACGCGUUAAGCAAGCCGCCUGGGAAGUACGGUCGCAAGAUUA
RNAcentral lists this ribosomal RNA (372 nucleotides) under uncultured organism. RNAcentral describes it as "bacterial SSU rRNA". It matches the Rfam family "Bacterial small subunit ribosomal RNA", at positions 526 to 896 of the family's 1533-position model. The record is from RNAcentral.